AUCACAAAGUUUUAAUUUUACUCAAGCAGAAAUUUGUUCCACUCCUUUUAAAAAAUUAUUUCCUGCGAUUUCAUUCCAUAUUAUUCUCGGCGUUUCCAAUUAUCGGUUAAUAAAUAACAUUAUAUUAUAUUAUCCAGCUUCUCGCAAAAAUGAGGAACGGUAUUCCAUCUCAAGUUUGUUUCAACUGAGAAUACCUUAUGUUGAAUUUAAAAUACCGGAUACACCACAAUAUUCUUUACAUGAAUAUUUCUAGUAACGACAAGCGUUGAACGAUAACUACCGAUCCACGAGUACCACGAGGUCAUCGCUGCCAUCGACGUUUCAUGGAUAUUUGUGGGCUGCCUCCCUCGAACGACACGAUGAUGCAUUAUUUAUACGCGCCCGCAUAUACCACCGUCGUCGUGGUCGUCGUGCUCGUCGUCGUUAACCUGGCACAUAAUCGAUGAGAAUCCUCGCGUGCAUUGGCGCGUAUGCAAGCAACCGCGUGUGCCCGCCGACAUUUGGAGAAAUCUCCUUUGAAUUUCUGACGCAGACUUCCUGCGAUUCCAUCGAUCUCGGUUUCCGUCGUUGCAGACAAAUAUACAUACGCGAGGCCGCCCCGAGAAGAAUCGAACGCUCGUCGCUAUUCCAUUUUGUCCAUCGCGAGAUCACGUGCCGUGCGGUCGCAUGUCCGGCUAGAAACCAUUACAGUCGAACGGAUACCGUCGCUUUGAGCUCCAAUUACAAACGUUCGCAAUACGUAUUUCGAAAUUUCUCAUUGGCUGGAAGAAGAUGAAAGAUGGUGAUGUAAUACGUAACCACAGCCUUACGCGGGAGCACGCGUCACGGUAACGAAUGCAGUUCCUUCUACGCUUUGUACUUGGCAACGUUUCACAGUCGUUGAGCCGCGAUAAACAGAGACGUAGACGAGUGUUGGGUUACCGGGAUGCCUACCGUGUUACUCGCGUCGCUAUUUCCUCCUGGCAACACCUGCUUCAUUAGUCCUCCAUCUCCAGCAUUCUCAUCGGUUAAGACGAAAUCCCGGAAUCGAGAUCGUCAUUUCGUGCCCGGAUUUAUGGUCGCUCGAUAAAGGAAGAUUACGGCUCCGGGCAAGUUUCAUGUCGUCGUCGGUCUUCGGAAGGUCGUUAAGGGAAGCUCAAGGGAAACAUUGGAAUGGCUAUUCUGAAGAAUAGAUUACGUCAUGUUUCUCUAGACUCGACAAAGAUCGCCAACUUUUAUGUUGGUGGAGACCUAAUGAAACUAAGAAGAGGCAAAAAGCCUCGAAAAAGGGAUCCGAAGAGUCAUGUUUUUAAAUUUCAGAAUCGAUAGUCCUAUUAAAUAUUGUAGAACUCAAAUAAUUAAACAUUUCGAAAGAAAUAUUUAAAUUCGACACAAAUAAAUAUUUUCAGAAACCGAAAUACAUUAAUAAAAAAAAUCUAACAUUUUAAAUCAAGAUACGUUUACAUUUAAUUUUCUUGUUAUAAAUUUCGACAUUUUAAAUCAAGAUACGUUUAUAUUUAAUUUUCUUGUUAUAAAUUUAAGAAAUUUAGAGAUCGAGGAAAGUUAAAAGGUAAAAGCAAUUAAAAAUUCAUGGACUUCUGAAGCGUAUGUCAACAAAUUCAAAGAUUUUCAAAUCUAAAAAUUCACUAUAAAAAUGAAAGCAUAUGUUAAGAUGCUUUUUGUUUAUUACAAAAAUGUUAAUUGCAUAAUAAUGUUAUUUGGCGUUUUGAGAUUUACCUUGUUACAAUGAUUGGAAAGAUAAUAUUCUUUCUAACUAUAUAAAAUUGAGGCAUCUAUUAUAGCAAAUGAUGCAAAGAAAUGCUUUAUUCUAAUCGCCUCAUUGUUAUUCUUCAAAUUUUCUUACAUGUACAAGGUAUAGAACAAAGCUGUAAAUCUUAUAUAAUAUGUCUUGUAAAUUUUGCAGCAGAUGUUACAAACUAAAAAUUGUUUUACUUUGCUUUUCAAUUAUUUUGUAUUUAUUGUAUUGCUAAUAUUAUAGUAGUAAGAGGAGCUAAUGAAACUCAUUUGAAUUUGUAUUAAAGUUACUAAUCCUAAAACGCUUAUGCAUUACGAGUGCAAAUUUUAUAAACGGCAUCGUAGAAUUUUAUCGAGAGUGUUAUUUAUUUGAUGAGAUUUAUAUUGAUUAUUUUUGAGAGUCUACAUUUCUACACUGGAGUAUUUUCGCAGCACAUUAAAUGCCAGCUUUGUCAAAAUGAAUAUUAAUUCCGAAAUGAAUAUUACGCCGUUAAUGUUAUGCGCAGUCAAUAUCCACUGUUUAAAUGGUCGAUCAUUGUCGAGAGAACAUAUAUCCGUCAAGUAUAAUAAAUAAAAUCGGUUAAUACUCUUUAGUCAGAAGAGGAUUGCGACCGAUUACGAGAAAUAAAGCUGGUUUGCAUGCAUUUAUUGUACCGGGAAAGAUUAUUAUGUGAAAUGGGAUUGUACAUAUGUGAAAUAAUUUAUGACGAUUGAAAAACCUUUCUCUAACUAAAUCGGAGUGUAAUGUAUGUACGUGAAUCAAUUCUUGCAAAUACAUGUAUUUCUUCUCGGUU
This is a long non-coding RNA of Vollenhovia emeryi, 2528 nucleotides long. RefSeq lists it as uncharacterized. The record is from RefSeq and is a predicted model, not a curated record. The transcript has 3 exons. NCBI's taxonomy places the organism in Eukaryota, Metazoa, Arthropoda, Insecta, Hymenoptera, Formicidae.